GAUGAAGAACGUAGCAAAAUGCGAUAAGUAAUGUGAAUUGCAGAAUUCAGUGAAUCAUCGAAUCUUUGAACGCACAUUGCGCCCGCUGGUAUUCCGGCGGGCAUGCCUGUUCGAGCGUCAUUUCAACCCUCAAGCCCCCCGGGUUUGGUGUUGGGGAUCGGCUCUGCCUCACGGCGGUGCCGCCCCCGAAAUACAUUGGCGGUCUCGCUGCAGCCUCCAUUGCGUAGUAGCUAACACCUCGCAACUGGAACGCGGCGCGGCCAUGCCGUAAAACCCCAACUUCUGAAUGUUGACCUCGGAUCAGGUAGGAAUACCCGCUGAACUUAAGCAUAUCAUAAGCGGAGGA
Molecule: unclassified non-coding RNA, 346 nt
Filed under: soil metagenome
Description: partial contains 5.8S ribosomal RNA, internal transcribed spacer 2, and large subunit ribosomal RNA
Rfam family: 5.8S ribosomal RNA (bases 1-120)
Source: RNAcentral